GGGGAUAUGGCUCAAUUGGUAGAGUGCUUGCCUUGCAUACACAUAGGCCCUGGGUUCAAUCCCUAGUACCACCA
This 74-nucleotide transfer RNA is filed under the name Ictidomys tridecemlineatus (thirteen-lined ground squirrel). RNAcentral describes it as "Spermophilus tridecemlineatus (thirteen-lined ground squirrel) tRNA". It matches the Rfam family "tRNA". From Rfam's summary of the family: Transfer RNA (tRNA) molecules are approximately 80 nucleotides in length. Their secondary structure includes four short double-helical elements and three loops (D, anti-codon, and T loops). The record is from Rfam by way of RNAcentral. Lineage: Eukaryota; Metazoa; Chordata; Mammalia; Rodentia; Sciuridae.